This 490-nucleotide ribosomal RNA is filed under the name uncultured bacterium. Its description in RNAcentral is "partial 16S ribosomal RNA". It matches the Rfam family "Bacterial small subunit ribosomal RNA", at positions 29 to 507 of the family's 1533-position model. The record is from RNAcentral.
AUUGAACGCUGGCGGCAGGCUUAACACAUGCAAGUCGAGCGGUAGCACAGGGGAGCUUGCUCCCUGGGUGACGAGCGGCGGACGGGUGAGUAAUGUCUGGGAAACUGCCUGAUGGAGGGGGAUAACUACUGGAAACGGUAGCUAAUACAGCAUAACGUCGCAAGACCAAAGAGGGGGAGAUUCGGGCCUCUUGCGAUCAGGUGUGCCCAGAUGGGCUUAGCUAGUAGGUGGGGUAAUGGCUCCCCUAGGCGGCGAGCCCUUGCUGGUGUGAGAGGAUGACCGGCCACAAGAGAACUUGAACACGGUCCCUACUCCUACGGGAGGGAGCAGUGGGGAAUGGUGGACAAUGGGGGCAAGCCUGAUGCAGCCAUGCCGCGUGUGUGAAGGAGGCCUUCGGGUUGUAAAGCACUUUCAGCGGGGAGGAAGGUGGUGAGCUUAAUACGUUCAGCAAUUGACGGUACUCGCAGAAGAAGCACCGGCUAACUCCGUG